This 253-nucleotide ribosomal RNA is filed under the name uncultured bacterium. RNAcentral describes it as "partial 16S ribosomal RNA". It matches the Rfam family "Bacterial small subunit ribosomal RNA", at positions 524 to 776 of the family's 1533-position model. The record is from RNAcentral.
UACGGGGGGGGCAAGCGUUGUUCGGAAUUACUGGGCGUAAAGGGCGCGUAGGCGGCCUUCUAAGUCGGACGUGAAAUCCCUCGGCUUAACCGAGGAACUGCGUCCGAGACUGAAAGGCUUGAAUCCGGGAGAGGGAUGUGGAAUUCCUGGUGUAGCGGUGAAAUGCGCAGAUAUCAGGAGGAACACCAAUGGCGAAGGCAGCUCGCUGGGACGGUACUGACGCUGAGACGCGAAAGCGUGGGGAGCAAACAGG